UGGGCAACCUGCCCCUCUCUCUGGGAUAACCCCCGGGGAAACCGGAGCUAAUACCGGAUACUCCGGCUGGAUCGCAUGGUCCGGCCGGGAAAGGUCCGCCGGAGAGGGAUGGGCCCGCGGCCUAUCAGCUAGUUGGUGUGGGUAAUGGCCCACCAAGGCGACGACGGGUAGCCGGCCUGAGAGGGUGACCGGCCACACUGGGACUGAGACACGGCCCAGACUCCUACGGGAGGCA
This 235-nucleotide ribosomal RNA is filed under the name uncultured bacterium. RNAcentral's name for it is "partial 16S ribosomal RNA". It matches the Rfam family "Bacterial small subunit ribosomal RNA", at positions 118 to 350 of the family's 1533-position model. The record is from RNAcentral.